GCGGUCGUGGCGGAAGUAGCAGACGCGCCCGGUUUGGGUCCGGGUGGAGGCUCCCAUCAAAGAUGUCCCCGUGCGGGUGCAAAUCCCGUCGACCGCA
This 97-nucleotide transfer RNA is filed under the name Planctomycetaceae bacterium. RNAcentral describes it as "tRNA-Pro". It matches the Rfam family "tRNA". From Rfam's summary of the family: Transfer RNA (tRNA) molecules are approximately 80 nucleotides in length. Their secondary structure includes four short double-helical elements and three loops (D, anti-codon, and T loops). Lineage: Bacteria; Pseudomonadati; Planctomycetota; Planctomycetia; Planctomycetales; Planctomycetaceae. The record is from RNAcentral.